This 308-nucleotide ribosomal RNA is filed under the name uncultured eukaryote. Its description in RNAcentral is "partial 18S ribosomal RNA". It matches the Rfam family "Eukaryotic small subunit ribosomal RNA", at positions 1470 to 1796 of the family's 1831-position model. The record is from RNAcentral.
CCCUUAGACGUUCUGGGCCGCACGCGCGCUACACUGACGAAGGCAACGAGCUUUCCUUUACCGAAAGGUACGGGUAAUCUUUUGAAACUUCGUCGUGCUGGGGAUAGAUCCUUGCAAUUUUUGAUCUUAAACGAGGAAUUCCUAGUAAGCGCAAGUCAUCAACUUGCGUUGAUUACGUCCCUGCCCUUUGUACACACCGCCCGUCGCUACUACCGAUUGAAUGGUUUAGUGAGGCCUUCGGAUCCGCGACUCGUUUUGUGGAGAAGUUGGACGAACUCAGUCAUUUAGAGGAAGUAAAAGUCGUAACA